Long non-coding RNA from Gallus gallus (chicken), 1939 nucleotides. The record is from Ensembl. NCBI's taxonomy places the organism in Eukaryota, Metazoa, Chordata, Aves, Galliformes, Phasianidae.
AGACAGUGAUGCUGAUUGCCACACGGCAGCACCCACCUCUCAUCUCCUAGAGUCUUAUCACAAGAAAUACCUCAGGAAGCAGGUUUUGAGCCAGAAAACGAAGAAGGAUUCAUACACCGAGUCACCGCUUGAAUCAAGUACAACUCUAGCACUAGUUGAUGUCCACAACUAGAAAGCUGAAGAUCUGGGGCCAGUGGAAAAUGUAGGCUUUGAAGAAAAAAACAGUGAAGCAAAAUAGCCUGAAAUUGCGGAUCAUCAUUGUUGCUAUCAAGAAAAAAUGAAGUCCUGAAGAGAGUUCAAGCAGUGAUGAGCUAUCCCACCGUAAUUACCACAACUCCCAGCAGGGUCCUUCUCAUGUGAUUAACACCACAGCAGGACAGCUGUCCUAGGAUGUGUCUAUUUGCCAGUCACUGAAAUAAAGCAAAGGUGCCAACUCAGACACGCAAAGGUUUUCAUUGACUCUUAAAAUGCCCUAUCUUUACAGCUAUAUUUCAUAACUUCAUGCAUGCUAAUUGCUGAAAUAUGAUGGGAUAAAGGUCUAACAAAGAGGAAGAAAGACUGCAAGUGAUAAAUUUAUACAGUAUAAAAACAAUUUUCUGGAGAAAAAAAGAAGUAUUAUUUCACCUAAAAAGCAGAAGAAACAUACUAAGUGGUAGAAAUAAAUUUUUCAGAACUUAAAUUUCUUACUAUUCCUGCAUUUAAAUAAAAGGUAAGGUUUUUUCAUUUGUAAGUUGGUAUUGGAUGGACAUCAAACAAUAAAAAGUUCACUAGUGACUUCUGUAGAUGGCUUAAGUUAUGAAUAAUUUACUGUGUUAAGGAAGGCCUGACUUCUCACUCAGUGAUUAUUAAGUGAGAUCUUCAAAGCUACUCAAUCACUUUCAAGUUUUCUUCACAUAGUGUUAUUUAAGUUUUAUUUUUACUUCACCCAACUCUACUCUAACCUACUUUUGAGAAAGAGUUUCCUUUCUACCAUCUCUCUGGAGAGAAGGUAAUUUCUUUUCUAUUGGUUUUAAGCCUGAUUUGACAAAGGUGAAUGAAGCUCUUACCUAUCUUUGAUAUUCUGUGUAUCAUGAAGCAUGGUAGUCAUUCAGGAGACUCCACAAUGACCUACAGUAUGCAAUGCAAUGUCCUAGUAAAACUGCAACAUACCCACUAUCUAAUAAACUCAUCACAUACUGUGAUGACAUUACAAUUCUUUUUUGCAUGAUAUUAAAAAUAAUCCUCGUAACUUCGUUCUUUCAGAACUUUUUAACAGGUUAUUGAUUCUUCUUCAAAGAAUUAAUCAAUUAAAAUUCAUAUACAAGCAGCUGUAUUUGUUAUUUUGUCAAUAAAAUUUAAUAUACUUUAAUUCUGAAAUUGAAAUUAACUUUUUAUAAUGGCACAUACUGUAAAUUUCAGUCCAAUAUAAUUUGAUAGAACAUUAUUUCAUUAGGUCUCUAAUUAAAAUGAGCUUAUAUAACCUCAAGGAGUCUUUUGCAAAUAUCUGACUACUGUGAUAGAGUUUAAAAGAACUGAAGUGUCAAAAGUAUUUGAUAUAUUUUCAGCAUUGAAAAGUUUUCAGUGGCUAUAGAAGUUAUUCAUGUUCCACUUGGGCUGAGUUGAUGGAUUUUUGAAAAAGGAAAAAAAAGAUCCUUCAUUUGUCAAAAUUGUUUGGCUGAGAUCUUUCCCUAAGCAAAAUGAUUGAAAAAGUUAUGCUGAACAACCUAUCAAACUCUCAGAUUCCUUAAGAAAUAAUUUGAGGGUUGGCCUGUUAAGAGUAUCUACUAAAUGAAAGUGAGAGGUUGAGACACUGCAUUCCUCCUUAGAAAAGAGAAUAACCAGGUAUUCCAUUUUCCUUCCAUUUUUUGUUCUAGUUUUCUGUAUUCUCUUAGUGUGAUUCUGAACUAUGUCCCAAUAAGACGACUGACACUCUCUAUGAAACUAUUAAAGUGAAUUAUAC